RNAcentral lists this ribosomal RNA (253 nucleotides) under uncultured bacterium. Its description in RNAcentral is "partial 16S ribosomal RNA". It matches the Rfam family "Bacterial small subunit ribosomal RNA", at positions 524 to 776 of the family's 1533-position model. The record is from RNAcentral.
GACGAACCGUGCGAACGUUAUUCGGAAUCACUGGGCGUAAAGGGCGCGUAGGCGGUCUUGCAAGUCCUGUGUGAAAUCCCUCGGCUCAACUGAGGAACUGCACAGGAAACUGCUUGGCUUGAGUUCGGGAGAGGGAAGCGGAAUUCCGGGUGUAGCGGUGAAAUGCGUAGAUAUCCGGAGGAACACCGGUGGCGAAGGCGGCUUCCUGGACCGACACUGACGCUGAGGCGCGAAAGCUAGGGGAGCAAACGGG